UUUUUUUUUUUUUUUUUUUUUUCAUUUCCUGGGCAGUUAAAAAUGUACAUAUUAACAUUUAUAUAUAUAUAUAUAUAUACACAUGCAUUAGAACAUUUCCUCCCCAGUGGAGUGAUGGAAAAGAAGUCCUCUGGCUACUGAGCAGUAAUCAAGAAUAUUGAAUCUUUGCAUUCCAUAAAUUACUUCAAGGAUAAGAGCUGGAAUAAAUCACAGGCACCCUAAAAGUUUGGGUAAGAGUCCCAAAUCAUUCAGUCAUGGAAAUGUUUGCUAGAGAAUUACUAGCAAACAUGGAACUGUUUGCUAGAGAAUGACUGUGACACAAUGAAUCAGAGUUUAGUGGUUGUCAAGUUAUAAUUGUCAAGAAAAGCCCUAAUACUGCUGAAUCCAGAAUGGAUUUUGACAUAUGGGACAGGGGCACAAAUGAUGUUUUCAAACUAAACUCUGUCCCCAAAAUAAAAAAAAUACAAAAUUUGCAGCAAUAUGAUAUUAAAUCAUAUUAUAUGAAAAUGAAAGUACAUAAAAAAUAAUAUUUAACAAUUAUCUGAAUGCUGUUCUUUGAACAGGAGGUAAAUUAGAUUCAACCUUAGGCAUAAAAAGCCUUCAUAGAAAGUUUGUUGCAAGAACUGAACCCUACACUUUUUAUCCCAUAAUAAAUAUUUCACCUGUGGACUCAUUGAAUCUUUUAGCAGAGCCUCAGCAAAUGCCAGGUUUUGGGAAAUGCCCAAAUCCCUGCAGUUAAACGGGAUUCUUACAGAAAUACCUGGAGCUUUGGCUGGUGCCAGUUCACCAGAGGAGUUUGUUCCUGGAAGUGCAGAAGUAGGCCAGUUCUGCAAAGGGUACAGGGUAAGAUUUAUAAUUACAGCAAUUUCUUCAGUGGAAUAUUGUUAUUCUGGUAAAAUUUUCAUACACUGAUGGGUUUAUCUGCUCCUUCCGACAUAGAGAAGAUGCUGCUUUGUGCAUUUCAUAAUCCUGCAGAUUUAACCAGUUGCUGCCUUUCCUCCUUGUGAUUCCAGCCAGACUGAGCACCACAGCAGCAGCUUACAAAUGUAAUGAAGAAAGAGUAAAUGGUUUAAAAAAAUCUCAAGAUAUCUCCCUUUUUUCUAAACAUCUUUACACUGCAGUCUUUCUCCUUUCUCUUUCUUUUAAGCAGUCAUUUCCCUUUCUUAAAAAAGCAAAAAUCUUUAAAAGACAGAACAGAAGAAAAAAGCUCCUUUAAAAGGAAAGGAGAAAAAAAAAUGGAUUGUGACCCUUAAAAAUAAUUUAAACAUUUUUUCAGAGAGGAAAAUAAAAUCUCACCAUAUCAAGUACUAGAAUUAGAACACAACCAGUUGUAACUUUGAACAGUACCUGUUUACCCAAGUCUCUAAAAGUGUAUGUGUAAAACACAGGCCUUAACAGAGCAAUAUAUUUUUUUUUCCCUAAAAUAUUAUUCUGUCUGUUUUUGCACCUGCAUCUUGGUAAACAAUUUUUAAGCUAUGAAAAAAAAAACUCUGACGGCCAGGAUCAUAUUUAUAGGAACAAUUUGUACUGAAUGUUUGUUCAUGGCAAGGAAUCGAAAUAUUUUAAAAAUUAAACUAUUGUGCUCUAAGUAAUUAAAUGUUAUGUAUUGUUUCAUAAACAAUAAAUUAUAAUAACAGAGGUAGCAUAAUGAAAACUGCCAGCUUGUUUAGCAAACAUGCUAUAGCAUAUAUAUAGUACAGCACAGCUUAAUAUACAGGUCCUAGGAAUGUAUACAUCUUUCUUGAUGAUUUUAGUAAUUUAUUUGUGGUAAUUUCUGGUUUCAAAACCUGAUGCCACGUUCAAAGGAUGGCUACAUUUAAUUAGAAUUUAAUAUGUCCUUAGGUUUUAGCCAAGGGUGGCGUUUGAUCCCACACUCAGAUCUAUGGGCAGAAACAGCAGCAGGCACUGUACAUCAUCUAAUAUUAUCCACCACAGUCAUGUGGAGUAACCAAUUUUACAACACCCAGGCACUACACCCAGGAGUAUUCAGAUAGGAUUGAGCCUUUAGACCUCUCUUGCACCUGCUGACAACACUCACUUCCUACAUGGUUACAUCAUAUUAAAAUGAAACAGGUUGCAGUGCAGAUCUUUUUUGUUGUCACUUUCGACAGAAGUCCAAGUUAUUCACAUAUUUUUGGAGUAGAUUUGAAGUGCAGUAAAAAUAAAGAUUAGGGUGUUCUUUGUGGUUUGCAUAUUUUAAGUUCACAAACAAAAAAACUAUCCAGUAAAUAAAUCAUUGAUACAUUAAGAAUUAUUACCACAGUGUAAAGUGGAAUGUUGAAUUACCUUGGAUAUAUUACCCACAAUGCUUCUCAAGGCAGCAGCUAAUUAGCAGGAGAAAGGUCACACAGAAAAAAUAAUGUGAUUAGAAGAGGUUGAAAGAAAAAAAAAAAUGGCCACAUAUUUGGACAUAGCCCAAAUUUCCUUUUUGCCACUGUAACUGAAAACCAUUGCUUCAAUAUUUAAUGAAAUGCUUAUGUUGCAGCACCUGGUCACAUUGUCAGCAGCGCCUAAGCACUGCCUCCCCUGUGGGUCAUUACUGCAGCCAUCUGAACGGGGGCAAACUGUUCAUCGACUACAAUAAUGCCACUCUUUAAGAAUCUACAGCUACAAAACAGCAGGAGACAGAGUUACUUUGGCUCUGAUCUUGGGAAAAAUGGCUGGGGGCAAAAUGCUGUUUCCUACCAUCAGAGAGUGUACAGUUAGCAAUAAUUCUGUAAGUCAAAGCCCAGGCACCAGCCCCAGCUUGGCUGCCCUGCUCUGCUUUUCCUCCCUUUGCAGAAACCUCGCAGCUCCUGGUGAGAGAUCCCUGUCAACAGCAAAACAGUAGUUCACAGUCCCCUGCUAAUGAUCCAAUGCAUCAAUAGCUCAAACAAUCACAACAAGCAGAUGUCCUAAGUUAAUAUAGACUUUCCUGGGAUUUUACUUGUGAAACAUUGCUUUAAAAGGCAUUAGUCUUUUGUCCUCGCUAGAGAUCUGCUAAAUCCUGGCACCAAUUCCUUGGGUAUGUGAACCCCAGCCUAAUGGAAUUUAAUUACUUUAGUGGUAUUAAUCAUCUGUACAGUAGAGCAAAGAGUAUUUUAUUACCACUUUUAAGGGUUAUCGGCACAUUUAUUUCAAAUGAACUGUCAAACUGCAUUACGUGGAAGGCAUGCCAGGUUUGAAUCCUGCAGCACAGGUGAAAAGACAUUUGCUGCUUCAAACUCUUGGACAUGAUGAGGAUACCUCUGCCUCUUGCAAGAAACGGAAGCAGUUUAUCUAAAAUUAAAAACAAACCAUCUUUGGUUUUAAUGAUCUCUUUUUGCUCAUGUUGGUUUUUAUCAACUUCUAAUCUCUGAGCUGGGAAGGGUGCUCUUUUCCGAGGAGAACAGAAACACCAGUUGGUACCAAAUAACCUGUGACACUAUUACAGGAUUAGUUACACAAGAGCAAUACCAGUCUUGUCCAUUAUCCAGCAACAAGCGCUGGCUCAGUAACACAACGUUUUUCUAAUUCACUUAAAUACACCAAAUCCUCUGCAUUCAUAUACAUGGAAAAGUGUGUCUGCACUCAGCAUAUCUUCUACCCUUGCUCUGAAAAAAACUACACAUGCCUAAAAGGUGUUCACCAAGUCACCAGCAUCUUCCUUUUCUCUUUGCUGGGCAUGUAGCAGCAUAUUUUACACGCUGCAAAAUUGCAACUAAAAUCUAACAAAAAUUAAUACCUAUUGAAAGACUAAUUUUAUUUUAUUUUAUUUAUCCCUUUGGUGGGAAGGUUUUUUUUGUCCUGCCCCCAGACUCUUCAUAGGUUUUAGACCUGUCCUAUACCUGCUUUAAGCACAUUGUUUUGCACUCAUCGUCUCUCAGACAUUCUGCACUGAGCAGCAAAUGAGAGCAAUUUGUGACACAAGAUACUACGACAUGUGGGAAAGACACAUAAUUAGUGUCAGAAUGAAUGCAUUUGCUUUUUAAAGCCUAUUUGUCCUAGGAUUUCAAAUGAAUCAAGCUGCUAUGUCUCUCUCAACAGCUCCAUACUGCUGUAUAAUGAAUUAAAAGAUAGUGUUGCUAAAAUGUAAAAGCUUCAGGAAUAAAAACUGUAUGCAUCUCAAAACCAGGGAUGAGAGGAUCUUAAAAGGCUCUAAACUCUAAUGUAGCCUAUUUUAAAGCCUUCCAAAAAACUAACCCAUUUUGCUAAACAGAGAAUUCUCAAGUGAAAUCACCCCUUCCCAUGACAGAUUACUACAAAUUUACAAAACUACUUUGAGUCUUGUCUUUUUAAAAGGAAAAACCUCAGAUUUCCAUCAUCUUUGCCCCAUAUCUCAGUCAAGUUCUCCUCCCCAGCUCUCUGCAUGCAGCAGUGCACACAGAGCACAUCUCAGUGUCCUGUUCAGACAGUUCUCUCAAAUAAACCUUCCGUCUCUCUUGCCAGAUAUACAUUCUCAUCUGCCUCUGUUUCCUUCCCCUGCUAUCCAGAUAUUCAGAACCAUUACCUGCCAGGCACUAUCAGUGACACUGUUGUGCCUGUGUCCCCCAUCCAGGGACAGCUGGGACCAUCCCAGUAGAGGAAAAAGAGCACCUCAGACUUCUUGCCUCUUCUCUGCACUAACUUCAAGACCAUGACCUGAUAUUUUGCCUUUCUGUAUUUUAAAUAUCUUCAGUGGAUUAAAAAAAAACAGAAAUGUGGUGCUCACCAGUCCCACUCAGUGACCCUAAAAAUGAGUUGGGAAGUGGAUUUGAGGGACCUGAGGCAGCAUUUUUCUUCCAGGCACUUGUAAUCUAGAUUCAUUAACUGAAGUUGGUUGUAGCCGAAAAAUAACUCUUUAACAGCACAUGAGGUUCUCUUAAAAUUAGCAUUCUGAGUAAGCCCAAAUAGCCAGGCUUUGAUCAGGGGAAUAGCGCUUCAGUUAAGCAGGGAAAGAGGGAGUAAGUAGAGCAUUUCUGCACGUAUCUUGGUCCUGCUGGUGCUGAACAUACCCUGAGUUAACAAGAGUAAUGCCCAGCAGGUCACAGGCCCAUCUGACAACCCUGUGGCCAAGGUGUUGGUUUUAAAGCACUGCCCACAGGAAGGCCCUGCAGAUUCAGGUGGCACAUCCUGCAUCCCAGACCCACUAAACAGCCUUCUGCUCCCCCACAGCAGCCCAGAGUUCCUCACUGCAAAGGUGCCGUGUAUUUGCCAGCCACAGGCAGCCGCACAUCCAGCCAGCCGACCUCAGCAGCUAAUAGGAGACCCAUUUUUAAAUGCCACUUUAUGAUGAGGUAACAGAACAAACACACACACACACACACACACACACACAUGUUCCUGUGAGAUAAAUGUCUUGGAAGCAGGCAGAGAUACAAGGCAGAGCCAGAUGCCUUCAGUGACCCUGAAAGAAUGUUAUCUUAAUGUAAUGCACACCUUUGACUGCCUUGUUGUGUUUAAUGCAUAAAGUAGCCUCAGACACAGGUUCAAGAAGAGUUGUGAGAUAUCCCACACGGUGGGUAGAGCUCUGAACUAGCAAGUACUUCAUUUCAAUAUUUACAAAGAUAUUGCUGGACUCUGCACAGUUUUAUCACUGUAUCUGAAGCACCCCGUGUAUCACAGCUCAGGCCCUGCUGCUGUGCUCACACAAGCAAAUCUCAGAGUCUCCUAAGGCAUUUUGCUUAUGGAAAGAGUGCAGAGUCAGACUUAAUUUAGGAAAGAAAAAGGAAUACAUACUGCACCUUAAAGUGAAGAUUCAAUUUUUAAAAUAAGGAAGUCAUUUAUCAGUAAAGCAGUAUGGAAAUUAUGCAGUUGCUCCAGUUUUGUUCUGAUGAAAGCCAAAAGGAGUCUAGUAAAAUGUGGCAGAAUUGGACCCAAGUCUGAUAUGAUUUGAGACCAAUUUUCUCUUGUAGCAGUUACUGGAAAGAAGAAAGCCUGCUUUUUUUCCAGGAAAAAGGUAUAUUUCUUGCCUUGUUCUCAGCAUUUUGUCUUCACUCCAGUAAGUCUCUGGCCAUCACUUUUAGCAUCCAUGGGGUUGCCCAAGCUAAAUGCAGGGAAUUAUAACUGUGAAGUUCAAAGUCCAGCUCUAUUAGCUUUCAAAGGAGCUGUUAAAAGCAGGCGUCUGAUGCGCCAGGAGUGGCAAGACUUGCAUAUAAACUGAAUCUUACAGGAAUGAGCAGUCGUGGAAGUCAAUGGGAUUACUCACAGUGCAGGAAGUUAAACAUGUGCAUCCAUUUCGGGGAGCCUCAUGCAGAGUACAAACACCCUUAAUGCUGUGCAUUGCUGAACUUCCUUGUAGCAUCUCCAAGCUGGCAGCGGUGGCCUUUCACUAAAACUCCGGAGUGGGGCCAAAGUUGGAUUUUGUACAGCUUAGCCUAACCCAUGGAUGCUUUUCAAAGGGACCCAAAAGAGCUGAUGCAUGCAAUUAGCUGGGAGUUGGGGGCGCUUGUCUUUCCAGGCCAGUCUGUCCCUUCUGGUUCAGGUUUAGGAAGGCUUUGUUAAUGCACAAUUAGUAGUUCUUACAGGCCUCUCCCCACAGUAAUGAGACAAAGCAGUACAGAGGAUCUGACUUGCAAAGCUUUACCUGAACAUUGUUAUUAUCAUUUUAGUGCUCUUUGCCUGACACCAGAAGAGAGCUGUUCAUUGCUGGGUGACCUCCCACAAAACAAUCUGGGUUCACCACAAAUAAUUGACCCUGAAGUUUAACUCCAACAAAUAAUAACCAUGUUUUUAGACAGGGCAGUGUUAAAUUGACACAGCAUCAAGCCUGCAGUUCCCUCCAGAGAAGAGGGGUUCCUGAAACAACACAGAAGAUGCCCAGUGGGAACAGUUCAGCAGACAUAACCAUGCCUGGAAUCCCCAGGGAGUUCAGGGAACAGGUCCCUGAGGACGUACCAGGGUACAAACAGCUUUGGGAAAACUACUACAGACUAAAAUCCUACCACAUUCCCCAGAUGCAGCACCCAAGUGGCCUUUUCUAUCUAAUA
Molecule: long non-coding RNA, 6926 nt
Organism: Taeniopygia guttata (zebra finch)
Lineage: Eukaryota; Metazoa; Chordata; Aves; Passeriformes; Estrildidae
Source: Ensembl